Non-coding RNA from Marasmius oreades (fairy-ring Marasmius), 93 nucleotides. NCBI's taxonomy places the organism in Eukaryota, Fungi, Basidiomycota, Agaricomycetes, Agaricales, Marasmiaceae. The record is from the annotation of a RefSeq genome assembly.
GUGCCCGUAACUCAGUGGUAGAGUGUGAGAUUGCAAUAACCAAAGACAAUAAUUGAAAUCUUGAAGCCCCGUGUUCGACCCACGGCGGGCACU